RNAcentral lists this ribosomal RNA (497 nucleotides) under uncultured bacterium. Its description in RNAcentral is "partial 16S ribosomal RNA". It matches the Rfam family "Bacterial small subunit ribosomal RNA", at positions 28 to 507 of the family's 1533-position model. The record is from RNAcentral.
GAUGAACGCUGGCGGCGUGCCUAAUACAUGCAAGUCGAGCGAACAGAUAAGGAGCUUGCUCCUUUGACGUUAGCGGCGGACGGGUGAGUAACACGUGGGUAACCUACCUAUAAGACUGGGAUAACUUCGGGAAACCGGAGCUAAUACCGGAUAACAUUUGGAACCGCAUGGUUCUAAAGAGAAAGAUGGUUUUGCUAUCACUUAUAGAUGGACCCGCGCCGUAUUAGCUAGUUGGUAAGGUAACGGCUUACCAAGGCGACGAUACGUAGCCGACCUGAGAGGAUGAUAGGCCACACUGGAACUGAGACACGGUCCAGACUCCUACGGGAGGCAGCAGUAGGGAAUCUUACGCAAAGGGCGAAAGCCUGACAGAGCAACGCCGCGUGAGUGAUGAAGGGUUUCGGCUCGUAAAACUCGGUUAUUAGGGAAGAACAGAUGUGUAAGUAACUGUGCACGUCUUGACGGUACCUAAUCAGAAAGCCACGGCUAACUACGUG